CCUACGGGAGGCAGCAGUGGGGAAUAUUGCACAAUGGGCGCAAGCCUGAUGCAGCCAUGCCGCGUGUAUGAAGAAGGCCUUCGGGUUGUAAAGUACUUUCAGCGGGGAGGAAGGCGUUGUGGUUAAUAACCACAGCAAUUGACGUUACCCGCAGAAGAAGCACCGGCUAACUCCGUGCCAGCAGCCGCGGUAAU
This 194-nucleotide ribosomal RNA is filed under the name uncultured bacterium. RNAcentral's name for it is "partial 16S ribosomal RNA". It matches the Rfam family "Bacterial small subunit ribosomal RNA", at positions 338 to 524 of the family's 1533-position model. The record is from RNAcentral.